GACGAACGCUGGCGGCGUGCUUAACACAUGCAAGUCGAACGGAAAGGCCCUGCUUUUGUGGGGUGCUCGAGUGGCGAACGGGUGAGUAACACGUGAGUAACCUGCCCUUGACUUUGGGAUAACUUCAGGAAACUGGGGCUAAUACCGGAUAGGAGCUCCUGCUGCAUGGUGGGGGUUGGAAAGUUUCGGCGGUUGGGGAUGGACUCGCGGCUUAUCAGCUUGUUGGUGGGGUAGUGGCUUACCAGGGCUUUGACGGGUAGCCGGCCUGAGAGGGUGACCGGCCACAUUGGGACUGAGAUACGGCCCAGACUCGUACGGGGGGCAGCAGUGGGGAAUAUUGCACAAUGGGCGGAAGCCUGAUGCAGCAACGCCGCGUGCGGGAUGACGGCCUUCGGGUUGUAAACCGCUUUCGCCUGUGACGAAGCGUGAGUGACGGUAAUGGGUAAAGAAGCACCGGCUAACUACGUG
Molecule: ribosomal RNA, 468 nt
Filed under: uncultured bacterium
Lineage: Bacteria
Description: partial 16S ribosomal RNA
Rfam family: Bacterial small subunit ribosomal RNA
Source: RNAcentral